UCCUGCAGAUGUAACCGCCUGAUGGG
RNAcentral lists this non-coding RNA (26 nucleotides) under Homo sapiens (human). Lineage: Eukaryota; Metazoa; Chordata; Mammalia; Primates; Hominidae. The record is from RNAcentral.